AAAAGGACGAUCUGAACGACAGAGGGAACAAGGACAUAAACAGAACCAGAUAAUGUGCGGACAGAAGUUCAGACACAGUUCUCAGUUAAAAUGAAACUUAAAUGUGAAGCAGCAUCAGCAUUUCUGACCACUUUGGGGUAGCAGAAGAAGCUUUAAAUUAAACAUUGAUAUAUUAUCACAUUAGAAAGUUGUUGUGGCCCGUGUAAAGAUCCAGCAGACACAGAGCAACAUCAGCAUUCAUUUGAAGUCAUGUUUCAGGCCACCAGACACAUGAAGAUGAUGUCCCCAUUUGUAAAUCCUACCUACAAAGCUCUGACUGACCCAGCUGAUUCACUACCGGGGAACCCGCUGUGAUGAACAGGUCUGGAGCCAGGCUAGAUCUCUGUCAUAAACGCCUCGAUCUGCUGAUGGAGAGAGAUCUGAGACGAUGCAGGAGGAACCACUGGGUCUCCCAAAGCCUUUCGCAGCUCCGCACGUCUCUAUCUGUCGGCCUACUGCUGAUAUCCUCUUCAGCGUCCAU
Molecule: long non-coding RNA, 520 nt
Organism: Siniperca chuatsi (mandarin fish)
Lineage: Eukaryota; Metazoa; Chordata; Actinopteri; Centrarchiformes; Sinipercidae
Exons: 3
Source: RefSeq, a predicted model, not a curated record